UACAGAGGGUGCAAGCGUUAAUCGGAGUUACUGGGCGUAAAGCGUGCGUAGGUGGAUAUUUAAGUCGAAUGUGAAAGCCCCGGGCUUAACCUGGGAACUGCAUCCGAUACUGGAUAUCUAGAGUAUGGUAGAGGAAAGUGGAAUUCCCGGUGUAGCGGUGAAAUGCGUAGAUAUCGGGAGGAACAUCAAUGGCGAAGGCAACUUUCUGGACUAAUACUGACACUGAGGUACGAAAGCGUGGGGAGCAAACAGG
This 253-nucleotide ribosomal RNA is filed under the name uncultured bacterium. Its description in RNAcentral is "partial 16S ribosomal RNA". It matches the Rfam family "Bacterial small subunit ribosomal RNA", at positions 524 to 776 of the family's 1533-position model. The record is from RNAcentral.